This 253-nucleotide ribosomal RNA is filed under the name uncultured bacterium. Its description in RNAcentral is "partial 16S ribosomal RNA". It matches the Rfam family "Bacterial small subunit ribosomal RNA", at positions 524 to 776 of the family's 1533-position model. The record is from RNAcentral.
UACGUAGGGUGCAAGCGUUGUCCGGAAUUAUUGGGCGUAAAGAGCUCGUAGGCGGUCUGUUGCGUCGGCUGUGAAAACCCGGGGCUCAACCCCGGGCCUGCAGCCGAUACGGGCAGACUAGAGUUCGGCAGGGGAGACUGGAAUUCAUGGUGUAGCAGUGAAAUGCGUAGAGAUCAUGAGGAAGACCAGUGGCGAAGGCGGGUCUCUGGACAGUUCCUGACACUGAGGCACGAAGACCAGGGGAGCAAACGGG